This is a long non-coding RNA of Hippocampus zosterae (dwarf seahorse), 748 nucleotides long. RefSeq lists it as uncharacterized. The transcript is spliced from 3 exons. The record is from RefSeq and is a predicted model, not a curated record. Lineage: Eukaryota; Metazoa; Chordata; Actinopteri; Syngnathiformes; Syngnathidae.
UGCUGACAUCUAACCGUUCUGUUGGCGUUUCCUUGGGCGGAGCUCCAUCUAGUGGAGGCAUUGUAGAUUGCGUCUUAUAAUGCGGUGCGUCCAAUAUAUGAAAAAAAGUGACAAAAUAGGCCAUUCGUUGAAGGUGCUGACAUCUAACCGUUCUGUUGGCGUUUCCUUGAGCGUAGCUCCAUCUAGUGGAUGCAUUGUAGAUUGCGUCUUAUAAUGCGGUGCGUCCAAUAUAUGAAAAAAAUGACAAAAUAGGCCAUUCGUUGAAGGUGCGCCUCAUAAUCCAGUGCGCCUUUUAGUGUGGAAAAUAUGCUCAUGAAACAUGUUCUCAAGUGCUCUUCCAUCCACUCUCCGAGAGGUGUUGAUAUCCAAAAUGUAGUUCAUGCCCCAGUUAAUCCAACUUGAUGACUCCCAACGCUGCUGGCACGAGAUAAACAAGUUCCCAUCAAUUCUCCCCCGGGGGUCUUUUCCUUAUUGCUCCACCCUUGCAGUCGAAAGCCACUUGGCAAGCAGACUCGCCUUGUUGUCCCGGAGGCACUUCCUUGUAUGUUUGCCUGUCGCCCGAGUAACGUUGACAGUCGAGUGCGUUAGAUUUCAAGCGGGGAUAGACGUUGUGCUCGCAGCAGCCAAAAAAAAAAAAAAAAAAAUCUUGGGCCAUCAUGCUGCGUUCUAUUCUUCAAAACAAACACCUAAUCGUUGUCCCUGCCUUUGCUGUCAUUGUGAUGAAUGAAAAUAAGCGUUCCUCCUUUCA